GAUGAACGCUAGCGGCAGGCUUAACACAUGCAAGUCGAGGGGUAUUGGUUUUCGGACCAAGAGACCGGCGCACGGGUGCGUAACGCGUAUGCAAUCUACCUUUUGCAGAGGGAUAGCCCCAGAGAAAUUUGGAUUAAUACCUCAUAGUAUAGUACUUUGGCAUCAAGGAACUAUUAAAGUCACAACGGCAAAAGAUGAGCAUGCGUCCAUUAGCUAGUUGGUAAGGUAACGGCUUACCAAGGCUACGAUGGGUAGGGGUUCUGAGAGGGAGAUCCCCCACACUGGUACUGAGACACGGACCAGACUCCUACGGGAGGCAGCAGUGAGGAAUAUUGGACAAUGGGCGCAAGCCUGAUCCAGCCAUGCCGCGUGCAGGAUGACGGUCCUAUGGAUUGUAAACUGCUUUAUACAGGAAGAAACACUCCGACGUGUCGGAGCUUGACGGUACUGUAAGAAUAAGGAUCGGCUAACUCCGUGCCAGCAGCCGACGG
This 491-nucleotide ribosomal RNA is filed under the name uncultured bacterium. Its description in RNAcentral is "bacterial SSU rRNA". It matches the Rfam family "Bacterial small subunit ribosomal RNA", at positions 28 to 520 of the family's 1533-position model. The record is from RNAcentral.